This 305-nucleotide ribosomal RNA is filed under the name uncultured bacterium. RNAcentral's name for it is "bacterial SSU rRNA". It matches the Rfam family "Bacterial small subunit ribosomal RNA", at positions 337 to 659 of the family's 1533-position model. The record is from RNAcentral.
GCCUACGGGACGCAGCAGUGGGGAAUAUUGCACAAUGGGGGAAACCCUGAUGCAGCGACGCCGCGUGAGUGAAGAAGUAUUUCGGUAUGUAAAGCUCUAUCAGCAGGGAAGAAGUUGACGGUACCUGAGUAAGAAGCCCCGGCUGACUACGUGCCAGCAGCCGCGGUAAUACGUAGGGGGCAAGCGUUAUCCGGAUUUACUGGGUGUAAAGGGAGCGCAGACGGCAGUGCAAGUCUGGAGUGAAAGCCCGGGGCUCAACCCCGGAACUGCUCUGGAAACUGUGCGGCUAGAGUACUGGAGGGGCG